AUGUCAGCUUUUCCCCUUCGAUAACAGCUAGCAUAUUAGCCUUCUCAAUCAGUGCAUAGUUAGCUUGUUAGUUAGCGCUUCCUCUUUGAGCAUAUGUUAGCUUUUUCACUUAGUUCAUGGUUGGUAUGUUAGCUUUUUUACUGAGAUCAUAGUUAGCACAUUAGCUUUUUCAAUCAGAGUAUAGUUAGCAUUUUAGCAUUGAUUAUACACAAUAGCUUUUCCCAGCGUGUUAAAUUUAUCUUUUUAUUUUGAGUUUGUAAUAGUUGACAUUGUGGCAGUCAGAGUUGCUAUGAUAUACACCAACUGUUAGCGGCAACUAGUUUAAAUGUUCUGGUGAAAAGUAUGAUGUGCUUGACCUUUGUAUGACCCUGCAUGCGCUCUCGUCUAAAGUGCGAAUGAUGUCUUAUUAAAAUGCAGCACAAGAGAGACGCGCUAAGUCCUCGGACUUUAGCGACUUACUUUGGGAGCGCUGGCGGGGCUCCAUGGAAAGAAUGAUGGGAAUGAUGUCUUCCUUGACAGUGGAGGACAUUAAGAUAUCAAGCGGCUGUGAUUAAGGAGAUUCUGCAAGGAAGAAGGGAUUUGCUGGAUUAGCGGUGCAACGUAAACAGCACCCGACUGCUGCGGUCCCGCCUUGCAGCCAACGUGAACAAAACAGGAAGUGCUGAGGAGCAACAUGAAGUCAAAAGGAAGUACCUUGACGUCAGCUGAAGACGACAGGAAGUGCUUAGGAAUGAUGAAAAACCAGUCCAGCGCUGGCCUUCCUCUUCCACAGCAAUUCUACUCAGACCUGGGCAACCAAUUUUUAAAAUUCUCACAAAAUAAAGCUGAAAAUGAUUGUAAUGGCUACCACCAGCCAGCAGGAGGAGCCAGUGACUGGUACUGCUCAAUGUCGGGUACCAAGUGUGGAAAGAAGACAAGUUGAGAGUAUUCUCGCCAAGAUGGAGUCAAGAAUGGACGCUAAUUCAUUUGUGACUGGGUGAUGACAGCCCUGCAAGUUUGCGGACUUUUGGUCGAAAAUUUUUUUUUUCCUUCUAAAAAUACGCCUAAGUCUGUUAUCAUUUAGAAAUAUGUGAAAAUACAGGUUUAAAACACAUUUUAAAAAAGGAAUACACAGCUGUAAUUUAAUGAGAAUAAUGUCAAAAUACAUUCUAAACAAAACAAAAGCAGAAAAAAUUGGAAUAUCUAUAGUCAUUUUAAAUAACACCCUCACUACUUGUUUGGGUCUUCCAGGUCUGUCUAGCAUCUAGGUCAGACCUCAACAUUCUUGUAAAAUGUAACAGUAUUUAUUUAUUUUCUCAUAACAUAACAUAUUUUUGCAAAAAUUACAACUUUAUUGUGUUUUGUAUGUUUCUCAUGAUAUUAUGACUUUAAAAAAACAUAUUUUUUCUUUUAUGUUUCAACAUUGUGGUUCUCAA
Molecule: non-coding RNA, 1415 nt
Organism: Doryrhamphus excisus (bluestripe pipefish)
Lineage: Eukaryota; Metazoa; Chordata; Actinopteri; Syngnathiformes; Syngnathidae
Source: RefSeq, a predicted model, not a curated record